Long non-coding RNA from Acinonyx jubatus (cheetah), 7840 nucleotides. RefSeq lists it as uncharacterized. The record is from RefSeq and is a predicted model, not a curated record. The transcript has 5 exons. NCBI's taxonomy places the organism in Eukaryota, Metazoa, Chordata, Mammalia, Carnivora, Felidae.
CCUCUUGCCAUCGGCGGUAGAGGCUGCUCGGGAGCCGCCAUUUCCCACAGAGAAACUGCAACACGGAAAGCGAAGAGGCCGCAGUGAAAAUGAGCUAAUCAACAGAAGCUGGGGAUAAAUGAGUAUUUUUCCGCCUCGCGCUAAGGAUUCUGGAAACAGAGAAAUACCGCGAUAGAGAGUCACUUUCUCGCGAGACUUGCAUCCGUGACGGAUGUCUCUUCGGAAACCGGUUUCUAAAAAUGAAGAACUAGGUUCCAAACGAAGGGAAAGCAAAGUGGUUUUAAAUUACAGGUAGCUGCUGAAGAUUUGGUGGCAGCAGUGGGAUCCGAAGCAAACCUCCAUCAAAAUUCAGGGAUAAUGAGAAACAGAAGCAUGGUGCUCUAUGAACCUUGUUGAAUUCACUGUCUUUCUCGCUGUUUCCAAAUGCCGUUGGUUAUAGAAGACUUUCUGGAUCCCAACUCAGAGGAACCUGUUGGGCACAGUCUAAAGCCUGGUGACUGGGUAUUCUGGAAACAUUAUCAAAGAAAGACAGUUCUGGAGCUCAGCUAAAAGGGACCUUACCAACUUCUCCUAACCACUGAUACUGUUGUGAAACUAUAAGACACUGGAGACCUCUGAAUCACAUUGACAAGGAGGAGAAGUAGGUGACAUCAAGCUUGGAAAGAAGUCCGUGGUGAAUGAGGAAGAAUAUGCUGUUAAUGCUCUAAGCCGUAAUCAAUUAAAGACCCACUUGUGAAGGAGCCAUUGUUUGCAGCUCCAUUCAGUUGCUGAGUUGUCUUUUAGGCUGCCCAUGCGGAAACCCUGGUAAGGUGAUGAGAAAGUUCAAAGCACCUAACUUUGCAAUGUGGAUUUUGUUAUUGAAACUUCUCUUUAUAUUUUUAUUCAUUUAAAAAAAUGUAGUAUAUGUAGUGUAUAUGUUCAUUGGUUAUUUCAAGAAAGAGAAGGGACUUAACAUAACAAAGGAUGAAAAUGAUCUCAUGACAUAAUUCUGUGCAACUAUUAGAUUACAAUGCCUUAUGAAUUAGUUCAAGAGGAAUCAAUGUUGAAAAUGUUUGCUAAGAAAAUAAAUAAUAGUACUUCUUCAUAAGUCUGUUGAUAGAAAGUGAGAGUGCUUUCUUCAACAUUCAGUCAUUAUUUUUGGCAUGACUGCCAUUUUGUUUUUGUUCUCAACUCUCCCUACUUCUCUAAUUUCAACUAGACAGUAGUAUUACCACUGAAGUGUAGUCAGUAUUUAGUCUUGAUUGCCAGAUUUGGGAGACUGUUGGAACUUUGCUAAAGAGGCAGAUAUAAAAAUAUUUCAGAUAGAAUUUGGCAUAAAUGAUUUAAAGACUUAACAAGAUAAAAAUGAAUUAAUAUUAAAUAUUUAAUGCUAUUGAUAUAUAUAGAACUGGAGGGAGUAAACAAAUAAUAUAGUAAUAAAAGUUACUUAAUGCAUGAAAGUAAAUCCUCAUAGAGCAAGCCUAAGGACUAAAAAAGAAAUUACAUAAUGUUAUUCUUAGAACCUCACCUUGUCAGAGUAGGAAUCUGACUUUUGGGUCACCCUUAAUCUUUUGCUUUCUAGGCAAAAAUGGGCCAAAUUUCUUCCCUGACUACCUAAAAAAUAACCUGUCAUAGGCCUAGGGGAAGUCACAUUCAACUAUAGUCAUAUUCAAGUCAAAUAUAAAAGAUUUUGGAAUGGAAAUAUAGGAAUGAAGUGAUCCAACAAGAAUGUUUUCUUUCCUAAGAUUUCCUUUGCUUUUCUAGAUCAAAUAAAGAAAAUAAGCAUUUUAGGAAUACAAUUCAAUAAAACUGCCGAGUCUGUCACUGUUAUACAAACUCCUAGGCCUCUCUCUUUUCCUUGAGUGACAUGUCUGGGGAGUUUAUAAGGAAGAGCCUCAGUGUCCAGACCAGCCACUCUACAGAUGACUCAGGACACCUUUGCUAAAUCCAUUCAUUACCCUGGCCCCUAGUGGGAGUUACAAGCGAAGCCUGCCAAUUAGAUGUUGGUAAUGUGGACUCUGCUUUAGGGAAUUGGGUAAGACUGCCAGAAUUCAUUCCUGAACUUUAGCAGCCACAAAAGAGUAUUUUUCUGUCGUCUGUAACCGAUUCAAAACCAGGUCUCAAAAGGACAAGCUUCCUUUUGUGCCCCAUCUUUCCUAAAGUCCAAUGACUAAUAAUGUUACAACAUCAGGUUUUUCACAAGAUCACAGGAAACAUCUGACGAAGGAGAAGCAAAGAAAAAAAUGUCAUUGUUUGACUUGAUUAGCCUUUGUUUAACUCUGUUUUCUAAUAUUAGAACAUUCUUUUUGGAAAUAAUUACAUGGUAAUUUAUCACAAACUAAUGGUACUUUAUUGUUAAAUGAGAGAUUAAACCUGGGUUGUGUCAAGAGUCAUAAAAUAAAAAUAAAAUAAAAAGCUUUCCAUAAUGAAGGUUGUGAAUGAAGAAAUUAAUGUAAGUUCCUAUUUAACACUGCUUGCCCUCGCCUUGAAAAAAUAUUUCCAAAAUCCUAUCCUGAGGCUGUAUUGGCAUCACUACUUCCUUCUCUGCUAAUAAACACACAUAAGGGUGAGUGUUUUGCUUUCAAGUUCAUUGACAUUAUUAUUGUUUUUAAUUUUUUUUUUUACAUUUUAGUCUAUUUGAAUGCUUGGGUGAUGUUUUGAAAUUAUUGAGGGGCAGCAGUAGAUUUUCUUAAUAAGGAUUCUGUGAACUUAAAUAUCUGAUUAGUAGAAUGAACAAAUCUUGGAAAAUGUUCAAGUCAUUUUGUGGAAAAUGUCAGAGAACUCUAAACAGUAGGAAUUUUAGGUAGUAAAUUCAUAGUCAGCCCCUGUAGACUGUAAUAAGAAAGAUGUGACUCUGUAUCUCUGUACGAGAUGUUUUGUUUUUGUUGUUGUUUGUUUGUUUUAAAACAAUGUAUUAUUUUGGCUUCUGGUCCUAAUUUUACUUUAGAAAUUAUUUUUGAUAUGCUUCAGACAGGAGCUUUCUGUCCAGGUCUUGAAUGCAAGUAUUAUAUCUUUGUUUUGUAUUCUUGUGCAAAUAUAUUUUAUUGGGAACCUAUUUCAAAAUGCUUGUUAAACAUAUGAGCUUAGUCACAUUAAUGUAGUCAAGUGCUGUAACUGUACGGGCAGAUAUUGGAACAGAGGAACCUAUGUCUCAUACUCAUGGCUGCAGCUCACUGAUGAGAGAGGUUUCCUUCAUCAGCUCACUGCCUAUGCGCAUGCUACACUGCGUACACACUUAUUUCUUUCUGCUGUCACACACAUACACACACACACACACACACACACACACAUGCACCUAUAAUUUAGGGGGAAAAACCCACAUUUGUCAUAAAGCUUAGGAGUUAAGAGUAAGAGAGUAAGGCCAGGAUAGUAACUGUUCAGAACUUGAAUGAAUUGCUGGUUUUCACCAAGUAAACUAACUGGCUGGCCUUCUCAGGCAGGCUCCAAAUUCCUGUUGAAAUGAAGACUUUCUUUCCUGGACUAGGCCUGGCAUUCCUGGGAAACAAUGGCCCUUUUCAAAUAGGCUCUGAAAUUUCACAGGUGAAGGGAGAGGGGCAGUCAUUUGAUCCCACCCACAAGAAGCCUGUUAGUAUUUUAAAAAGUGAAGACAGAGCCUAUCAUGGAAAUGCAGGCAAAGCUGGCUAGUGGCUAAGAGCUGCAAUCUAGAUCCACAGUUUUGCAGAUCUCUGUGAAAUAUGAAUCAAUUUCAGUGUUCUGUCUUUGACUCACAUUGCAACUCUUUUUCUAGAUUUUCUUAAGAGCAGACUACAGAAUCACUGAAAUGGGGUUUUAUUUUGUAGCAUGUGUUAAGGAAGAGCAGUAUUCAAGUUUUUCCUUAAUUAGGAACUAACAUUAGAAUUUAUUUAAAAAAAAGAUUAAAUUGCUGGGGCGUCUGUGUGAUUUUGGAAAACAUGCAGGGUAAAAAUAUUACAUAGAGUUACAGAAAUAUAUAUAAUUACAUAUAUAUGUAAUAAUUUUACCUUGUAUCCUUUCCAAAAUGGUUUUCAAUUAGGCCUAAUUAUAUUAUAAUUGAAUAAUUUAAAAAUUCAGAAAUGUUCAGAUAAUUUUGGAAUCCCAUAUGAAAGUAUAUAUAACAUCCAAUUUGAAAGAAUUUGGGCAUAUUGAUCACCACACUUAACAAGUACAAUUAAUAUCAGAUGUAUUUCAUAGGUUUUAUGGAAACUUAUUUGACUAGACCUUUCAGUGAUUGUGUGAGAUAAACUGAGGGUUAAAAAAAAUCUUUUUUUAAUUUUAUUUAUUUGUGAGAGAGAGAGCGAGUGCAAGUGUGCAAGGGGCAGAGAGAGAAGGAGACACCAUCAGAAGCAGGCUCCAGGCUCUGAGCUGUCAGCACAGAGCACAACAUGGGGCUGGAACCCAUGAACCAUGGGAUCAUGACCUGAGCUGAAGUCCAACGCUUAACUGACUGAGCCACCCAGGCGCCCCAAACUGAGGGUUUUAGUAUUCAGUUACAUGGGUGAGAAAAUAAUAAAAGUUCAGAUUGUGAUAUUUAUCAUUAAUAAAAUACAUUUUAUUAGGCACUCCUUUAUGCAAGAAACUGAAUUUUUCCAUUUGUAUUUGUUUUAAUAAUCCUUAAUAACUGCCUCAAGAUUGAUAAUGCACCCAGUAUUUAACAGAAGACUUAUUUUAGACAUAAAUUACUUAAGACUCAGAAAAUAAUUGAUUUUUACUUAAGAAUAAAUAAUAGAACAUUUUAUGAAAUUGUCACUCUAAAUUACAUAGUUCUUUUCUAAUAAACCCAAUUAACCUGGUCAUUAUGUAACAAUAUAGUAUUUUGAAACAUUUUUCCUGAUAUUUUGGUUAUUAUAUGGUGUAUUCUCCCCCACCCUACGCUCCCCUCUCAACCCUGGCCCCAAUUCUAGCAGCAACCAGGGUGUUCUGAGCUUAUAUCCUAGAAAAGGGAUGAAACAAUAGAAUAACAACAAUAAAAUGAAAGUAUUGGUGUUUGACUUUCAAAUGCAAAAAUAAAAAGGAAUUUUUAAAACACACACACAAAGCAAAUAAUAGGAGAAAAAAGCCAAGGUGCAAAAAUAAACUAACUAUACCAAUCAAAACUAGUUUUCCCAACCCACCAAGAAAAAUUUUUUGUUGGAGAAGAGGACAAGAAGCAGAGGAUAAAGAGCAUUUUGAUAUUGGUGGAUCACUUGAUAAGAGAGUCUAUGUACCUUGUUUCCCCAACUAUUGGGUUAAUGGGAAUUAACAAUAGAUCAAUCUCAAAAAUUUGGGAUUCUAAGAGACCUGAUAUUUCUCAAGUGGAGUUUAGAGACGUGUCAAGCUGUAUACUUUGUAUCUACCCUACUCUUCCUCUACCCUCAUCUAUACACUCUCCCCCUUGCAUGUAUAGGAACAAAAGAGUACAGAUGGAUGGGGUAUUCAAGACACAGCUCUAAGAUAGCCUCUUAGAAUCUCUUGCUCCUUUAAUAUAGCCUAGAGAGCAAAAGUAUGUUUUUCCAUUAAGUUGAGAGCAGCACAGGGAGGGAGCAAGGAACCAACAGAUGGUAGGAGGGGUUAUUUUGAGGAAGAGGAAGAUGCAGCUGUCAUACACAAGGGCAAAUGACAGAAAAUAUAGAAGAGAAAAAAAGUACCCCAUGAUGGAAAUUAGUGUGAAGUGACCAUUAAGAACCAUAUAAAACUUUCUAAUUAUGUGAUACUAAGAGCUUUGCAACUUAGAUAUAACCUCAGUGAAGGGUUUGUAGGUACAAAGGUAAGUAACUAAAAUGAUUGAGAUUACUCUAAAUUGACCAAGAUUAUUUUUACUACCCAGCAAAACAGGGGGGAGGGGGGCACAGAAUAGAAAUUGUUUAUGUAUAGAAAAAUAAAGUUAGUACUUUUGCACACUUGAAUUUUAAGGAUUAGAAGUUAGACCCUCUGUACUUAUUAUAAAGAACAAAAUUCAAAGAAGGACAUCUAAGUUCACUGCUUUUAUUUUUCAUUGCUUCAUUUAUCCUUAUUGUCCUACAACCUUAUUUGAACUCACAUUAGAACGUCCAGCUAUCUAGUGGUGCCCCAAGCCUGGAGGCAGAUGCUCACCUCAUCUAUCUAGAGGAUGAAAAAAGGCUGACUAGCUGCUUGGUGUAGAGGCAGGAGAUUAUUGCUAUUGCUUUGAGACUAGCAUAUUCUCCUAGAACCUGCUAUGACAAAGGAUAUGUGAAUGGACCAGACAUGGGCCCUUAGGAAAGAGAGCUGGGUCGAAGCCAUUUAAGGGCUGCUGAAGAGGACCAGCCUGGAUUGUUGAAAGGACUCCAAUAGUGUGAGAUUGUGGGAGGGAGUCUCCAGGGAAAUUAGAGACUGGACAAAGAGUAUUCAGCCAGGAGAAUGAAACACCACAGCUAUGGAAACCUCCAAAGUAUCCAUGCAAUCAUCCCAUCAGAAAUUAGGGCUUUAACUACAUAUCAAGCACAGAGAAUAUGGCACAAUCAGCCAAGGAAAAACAUUUGUUCUUCUAUAUUUCCUGCUUUAUUUGACCCUGGAAGAAUCUGAAAAAGCUGCUAGCUAGUGAGGAAGGAGGAAGGCAUAUGAGGAAAAAGAGCAAAGGACAAUCAAGCAUUCUAAUUAUUUUGAGGCAGCCAACUAUAGACCUUGGCCUUGGGAAGGAGAAGAAGUCUCAGUUUGAAUAGCUAUUGAAACAUUGAUUAAUAAUCUGGAUUGUAUAUAUUAUGAUUUUUGAAGUGAGACAAUGUUUUGGGUCUUAAGGGAUCAUAGGACUGCUUACUACCUAAGAGUAAGCUGGAAAGUAAUGAGACCUAGCCAAUUUUACAUCCAAGGGCGGGGAAGGUUUCCCACAUUGAAUAAAUUUUAAGGAAGUAUUGAAGAUAAAACAGAAUUGUUACUUUAAUUUAUUCUAUAAGUCUUAUCUUCAGUAUACUAAUUAUAUAUCUUACAAAUAAUGCACAAAAUACUGUGCAAUCACAAAUAGUGGGUAAAUUACUCCUGUACUUGGAUAGGGAGCAUUGUCCGGCAGUAUAAACAAGGACUUGCUGGAGCGUUGUUUUAUAUUUAGCUCUAUUACCUUUAUUUACUGGGUUACCUUACAUCACAAUGUUUCUUAAUUUCAGUUUUUUUCAUAUAAGAAUAAAUAAAAAUGUAAUAAUGCUACGUAAAAUGGCUUUUGCUUCAAAUGAGCUAAUAUAAAUCAAAUGUGAUAAUGUAAUCAAUACAUUUUGAACACAAGUGCAAUACAUAUAUAGUAUUAUAUUGUUAAAAAUAAUAAUGGCCACUCUCUUAGGGCAUUUUAUGAACUCAAACUAUUUUGUUAAAGGAAAGAUUUUUUGGUUUUUUAGUUUUUUUUUUUUUUUUAAUUUGAAUGUUUGGAGCACCUGGGUGGCUCAGUCGGUUGAGCAUCUGACUUCGGCUCAGGUCAUGAUCUCACAGUUUGUGGGCUCGAGCCCCGCAUCAGGCUCUGUGCUGCCGCUUGCUCAGAGCCUGGAGCCUGCUUCAGAUUCUGUGUCUCCUUCUCUCUCUGCCCCUCCCCCACUCACACUUUGUCUCACUCUGUUUCUCAAAAAUAAAUGUAAAAAAAAAUAAAAAAUAAAAAAAUAAAUAAAUUUGAAUGUUUAUGUUCAUAUGCAUUUCAGACAUUUUUGCAACACUGUGAAACACUUUGAAACAAUGUGUGUAGUAGACACACAUCCUUUACUUGUGAUUUAUGAUGAAAAUUUAUCAUUUUGUUUCUUCCUGUUUUUUGACAGAAUCUCAAAAUGAGAUUUUUUUGUCUCAAUUUUAAGGCUUACAAAGAUUGACAAUAAAAUAAUAGGUGAUAACCACGUCUAAUAUUUAUUAGUGAAUAUAAAUAUAUAUAUAUAUACUUGUACAUAAAUACUGGUAUAAAAUAUAUACAAGUAUA